Molecule: ribosomal RNA, 840 nt
Filed under: Triticum aestivum (bread wheat)
Lineage: Eukaryota; Viridiplantae; Streptophyta; Magnoliopsida; Poales; Poaceae
Description: partial small subunit ribosomal RNA
Source: RNAcentral
AUGGCGGGCCGCAACGGCUUCGAGGACGACGACGUCAACCCCUUCGCCGGAGGGAGUGUCCCCCCUGCCUCCAAUUCUCGACUCUCACCUCUCUCCCACGAGCCUGCGGGUUUUUAUAAUGUGGACAUUCCUAUGGAUUCAACUAAGGAUGUGAAGAAAAAGGAAAAAGAACUCCAAGCGAUGGAAGCCGAGCUAAACAAAAGAGAAAAGGAACUGAAAAGGAAGGAAGAGGCUGCGUCGCGAGCUGGCAUUGUCAUAGAAGACAAAAACUGGCCACCCUUUUUCCCUCUCAUUCAUCACAAUAUUUCAAAUGAGAUACCCAUCCAUCUACAAAAAAUGCAGUACCUUGCAUUUUCAUCAUUUUUGGGAAUUGCUCUCUGCCUCUUCUUUAAUAUCAUAGCGACUACAACUGCAUGGAUUAAGGGAGAAGGUGUCAUGGUUUGGUUGCUUGCCAUUAUCUACUUCAUAUCUGGUGUCCCUGGGGCUUAUGUGUUAUGGUAUCGCCCUCUUUAUAAUGCGAUGAGAACUGAGAGUGCUUUGAAGUUUGGGUGGUUUUUCCUAUUUUACAUGAUUCACAUAAUCUUCUGCGUGUGGUCAGCUGUGUCUCCCCCAUUCCCUUUCAAAGGAAAUUCUUUGACUGGGAUUUUGCCUGCCAUUGAUGUCAUAACCAAGAGCCUUAUUGUUGGGAUAUUUUACUUUGUUGGAUUUGGAUUGUUCUGCCUUGAAUCACUGCUGAGCAUAGGUGUCAUUCAGCAAGUGUACAUGUACUUCCGUGGAAGUGGAAAAUCCCAGGAGUUGAAACAACAGGCAGCACGUGGUGCCCUGAGCUCUGCGUUCUGA